ACGGGGAGCAGCAGGCGCGAAAACUUUGCAAUGUGCGAAAGCACGACAAGGUUAAUCCGAGUGAUUUCUGCUAAAGAAAUCUUUUGCUAGUCCUAGAAACACUAGUGAAUAAGGGGUGGGCAAGUUCUGGUGUCAGCCGCCGCGGUAAAACCAGCACCUCAAGUGGUCAGGAUGAUUAUUGGGCCUAAAGCAUCCGUAGCUCGUUUUGUAAGUUUUCGGUUAAAUCCAUACGCUUAACGUAUGGGCUGCCGGGAAUACUGCAUAACUAGGAAGUGGGAGAGGUAGACGGUACUCGGUAGGAAGGGGUAAAAUCCUUUGAUCUAUUGAUGACCACCUGUGGCGAAGGCGGUCUACCAGAACACGUUCGACGGUGAGGGAUGAAAGCUGGGGGAGCAAACCGGAUUAGAUACCCGGGUAGUCCCAGCUGUAAACUAUGCAAACUCAGUGAUGCAUUGGCUUGUGGCCAAUGCAGUGCUGCAGGGAAGCCGUUAAGUUUGCCGCCUGGGAAGUACGUACGCAAGUAUGAAACUUAAAGGAAUUGGCGGGGGAGCAC
RNAcentral lists this ribosomal RNA (553 nucleotides) under uncultured archaeon. RNAcentral describes it as "bacterial SSU rRNA". It matches the Rfam family "Archaeal small subunit ribosomal RNA", at positions 325 to 879 of the family's 1478-position model. The record is from RNAcentral.